Molecule: microRNA, 23 nt
Filed under: Ptychodera flava
Lineage: Eukaryota; Metazoa; Hemichordata; Enteropneusta; Ptychoderidae
Description: Pfl-Mir-4831_5p* (star (passenger))
Source: RNAcentral
GCAGGGUAUGUUUUGCUGUAAAU